CGUUUACAAGGCCCGGGAAUGAAUUCGUCGCCGUAUGACUGACUGGCGAUUACUAGCGAUUUCGGCUUCAUGCAGGUGAGUUGCAGUCUAUAAUCCGAACUAAGGACGAGUUUUUGGAGCUAGUUCACCCUUGCGGGAUCACGAUCCUUUGUCACAUCCAGUGUAGCACGUGUCAUAAGGGGCAUGAUGACUUGAUGUCAUCCUCACCUUCCUCCGGCUUAUCACUGACAGUCUGCUCAGGGUUCUAAACUCAAUGUUGGCAACUAAACAUGAGGGUUGCGCUCGUUGCGGACUUAACCCAACACCUUAUGGCACGAGCUGAUGAUAGUCAUGCACCACCUGUGUCUAGGUCCCCGAAGGCACCCCUUUUUUUCAAGAGGAUUCACAACAUAUCAAGCCCGGGUAAAGUUCUUUGCUUUGCAUCGAAUUAAAACAACAUGCUCCAACGCUUGUGCGGCCCCCCAUCAAUUCCUUUGAGUUUUAUUCUUCUAAACAUCACCCAAGGGGUACC
This 511-nucleotide ribosomal RNA is filed under the name Vigna unguiculata (cowpea). RNAcentral describes it as "partial 16S ribosomal RNA". Lineage: Eukaryota; Viridiplantae; Streptophyta; Magnoliopsida; Fabales; Fabaceae. The record is from RNAcentral.